Molecule: ribosomal RNA, 416 nt
Filed under: Craugastor aenigmaticus
Lineage: Eukaryota; Metazoa; Chordata; Amphibia; Anura; Craugastoridae
Description: partial 16S large subunit ribosomal RNA
Rfam family: Bacterial large subunit ribosomal RNA
Source: RNAcentral
CCGUGCAAAGGUAGCACAAUCACUUGUCUCUUAAAUCGGGACCUGUAUGAAUGGCAUCACGAGGAUUUAACUGUCUCCCUUCAUCAAUCAGUGAAACUAAUCUCCCUGUGAAAAAGCAGGAGUAUAAAUACAAGACGAGAAGACCCUAUGGAGCUUAAAACUAAUAACACUUGCUCUUUAUUCCCUAUUCCAGAAUAAUAAUCUUAUAGCACCGUGAUUAUAAGUUUUUGGUUGGGGUGACCAUGGAAAAAAACUAAACUUCCAUGCUGCUUAUUAAAUUUAAGAACUUCAUUUCUACAAAUCAAUAAAUUGACAUAAUUGACCCAAAUACUUGAUCAACGAACCAAGUUACCCUAGGGAUAACAGCGCCUCCACUUCAAAAGCACAUAUNAACAAGUGGGCUUACGACCUCGAUG